Gallus gallus (chicken) is the source of this 1876-nucleotide long non-coding RNA. NCBI's taxonomy places the organism in Eukaryota, Metazoa, Chordata, Aves, Galliformes, Phasianidae. The record is from Ensembl.
ACAUACUAUUGCAACUCACAAUAGUGUGUGAGGUUUUGGUGGCUGGAGAUUUGGUAGAAAAGAGAUGAGGUGCUCCAAACCAAGGUUGCAGUCCUGACAUUCCAGCAGAAAGCUAAGGAAACUCUCCUGAAGUCAAGCAGUUCCUUACAAACCACAUGAGAGCCAAGCCAAGAGCAUUCUCUUUCCAGGGAUCUACAGAAAAGUCUGGUUGAUCUGUAUACCUUUUCUUCACGUGUUACUCUUCUACAGGGAUGGUUGGACUAGAUUAUCUUGGAGAUUUUUUUCAGCCUUGCCCCAUUGGAGGCACAGACCUAAGGCAAAUAGAGGAGAAUAUGAUGCAGCUGCAGAUCCUGGCAAGUGGAACUAUACCCCCAAAAGAUUCAGUUCAGUCAGAAGCGUGCAUUGCGAUGGUAACAGGUGAGGCAGCUUAGUUGUUCAUUGCUAAAGAAACAUUUCUGAAAUCAUUAACUGUCAUCAAGUGGGAGAAAAGGCAUAAUCUUUGACACUGCAUGUUUGCAAAUGGGAUUGGGAAAACAUGGUGGACAUCUUUGAACACUUCAAUCAGAAAUGAACAUAGUUGGGUCAGAUACUCUGUUUUACUGAACUAUGCACUGAAAGCCAGUCAUUUGGGGUCUCCUGGCUACUUGAAGCUGAUGCAGCCAAAACUUGGCACCCAAAACUUGGAACAGCAGAACAGCAUCUUCAGGGAGUAGCCUGGGAACAUUUGAGAGCUGUGUGAGAGCUGUGGAAGCCUUCCUUGCCCAAACCUCUUCCAUAACUCUUUUGAUGAGGUUAGUCAUGAGAGUGUUAAGAUGAUCUGUGGUCAUUUUCUAACUGUUAGUAUACUGAACUCUUCUGGUCAGAAUGAUGAAAGUGAAGAAUUUUCUGAGACUAAUAUAACAUUGUUUCUGGAGAGCAAUACGUUGCUUCUUCACUGCAAUAGAAAUAGAAAAAGACUGUGAUCUUACAAUUACCUUUAAGGAGCUGCAAGCACAAAGCUGCAGCAGGUCAGCGUCAUGCAGGCUGUGUGGUGGCAGGCAAGAAAUUCAGCUGCUGCCUUCUUGCAUCCUCCUUCCUAGUGACUGCCUGGCCCUGACCUGAGACAUUUCACAUGAGCUGUUGUGUUGCGUAUCAGAGCUUAAAGAGAUCUGGACAGAGAUGGCAGCAGGAAGGCACUGUAGGGCUGGGCUGCUCUGGCACUGAAUCUAACCCACUGCUGAACAGCUCCUGGUGCUGAGGUUAGGGUAGGGGCUGGAGGGAAGGAGAUGGAAAGAACAAAAGGAAUUAGGGGAGGUGCAAAACCAUUCUCUCCUCUAAGUAGCUAGGAGCUGACCUGAGGUCUUUUGGGGGUAUUUCUGAGGGCAUUUUCCCAAAUGUUUCCUCCAUUGCAUCUGCUUCUUGGAGGGAAAAAAGCAGAUUCCCCAGUGAAAGUUAGUCUUGCAGCCUCUCAACUGCAGGGGAUAACCACAUUUUCCUUCUCGGGGCUGUGUCUGAACAACUGGAGUUCUAAUGGUGACAUAUGCUCCACAGAACACAUAAAGGUCUAUCAGACUUCAUGUUUUUUGUGCUAAUAACCAGUUGAAUUUGGAAAUAGUCCUGGUUUUGUAUGUUUUCUUUUCUUACUAAUUUGUUUUCCUGGCUUGUCUGAACUUUGUUACAGUCUAUGGAAGUAACUCACUUUCAUAGAUGUUGGCAGCAAAUGGUCUAUUUCUGUAUAAGGCUGAAGUUCACAUGUAGCCCUCCUGUUUAUGUUCCUUUGAACUGUUAAAAAAAAAUCAGCAGGAAAUCUGUAUUGAAGAAUAAAACAACAGCUACAAGGCAAAUUUUCUGGGGGAAAAUAAAAAAACAGUAAAAAAAUACUGGAAUUCAGGUUUGC